GAUGAAGAACGCAGCGAAAUGCGAUAAGUAGUGUGAAUUGCAGAAUUCAGUGAAUCAUCGAAUCUUUGAACGCACAUUGCGCCCCUUGGUAUUCCAUGGGGCAUGCCUGUUCGAGCGUCAUUUGUACCUUCAAGCUUUGCUUGGUGUUGGGUGUUUGUCUCGCCUUUGCGUGUAGACUCGCCUUAAAAUAAUUGGCAGCCGGCGUAUUGAUUUCGGAGCGCAGUACAUCUCGCGCUUUGCACUCAUAACGACAGCGUCCAAAAUUACAUUUUACACUCUUGACCUCGGAUCAGGUAGGGAUACCCGCUGAACUUAAGCAUAUCAAUAAGCGGAGGA
Molecule: unclassified non-coding RNA, 336 nt
Filed under: soil metagenome
Description: partial contains 5.8S ribosomal RNA, internal transcribed spacer 2, and large subunit ribosomal RNA
Rfam family: 5.8S ribosomal RNA (bases 1-120)
Source: RNAcentral